UUUAGACCUAUCAACUACCUUUAGCUUCUCAAUCCUUUUCAACAAAUUGAUUUUUUUGCUUAACUUAAACUCCUAUUAUUGCAUGAAUACACAUUUAUUGAAAUAUUUCAUCCCCAAAAAAUGUUGUACCUCCCCCAUACUUCCAUAACUGUUUUUUUAUAAUAACCAGAAUUUCACAUUAACUAAGUCAUGGAUUAGGGUUCCGCUAUCACUUGUCGAAGCACGAUGCAACUGAAUCCAAAUGAAAUCCAUUGUAGCCGUUAAUAGAAAUGUUCAAAAAUAUCUGAAACUAGAAUGUAACGUGAAAUCUUUUUUAAAACGUUGUUAUGGAGGGCGGAAAAAGCAAAAAAAAGCAUACCGGGCUAAGAUAAAACCAUUCUAUCUUUCAUUAUCUUUUACAGAGUAUUCUUCCUCUUCAGUUAACAUUUCCUUUUGUUUCCUUUUCUUUCUCUUUGUUAUAUUUUUUUCAAUGUUUUUAGUUGGAGCUUUCUAGGUUUAUUCAUCUUUUUGUUUGUUUUAUUUUUUUGGUUGGGAUUUUUCAUCUUUCUGGUAAGGGUUUUGUACAGCGUGCACGCAGGUCUGUAUUUCUACUGUUUCCCUUUUUUUUUUUUGGGUUGGUUUCUCUGUGAUUUUUCCUUUUUUUUUGGUUGGUUUCUGUGUUUUACAUAGGAACAAGCCGAGCAGAGGAAGGGGCAGAGGAAAAGGAAGAGGCAAGGCAAAAUAAAGUGACAACUGAUAGAGGCAAAAUCCUUUUGCUAGGAAUAUUUGGCAAGUGAGGAAGGAUGGAGGAGUUGUGCUACAAGCUGAUUUUGCUAUUUUGAAUUGAAUGAUAAAACCACCGAGGAGGGAUGGGGGGAGUAAGAGAUAUUAAAGGGGACAUUCUCACCUGCUUGAAAUUGAAGGCUCUAUGCGUAGUCUACAUUCAGGCUCUCAUUGAGUCUAAUCUUGUAUCUGUUGCUGAAGAUACAGGGAUAUCCAUCGUCAAAGGAAAUGCUCCUAAAUAAAAAGCCUUUCUCUCCUAGUUGUGUGCAACUCUUCACAAUUAUCAACUGACUGUGAGUCAAAUGGAACAAGCAAAUCCUAUGGCUCCGAGUGAUAAGGGUGAUAGUAGUCAACAACAAUUUGGGAAGUUUAAACCGAACAGAGAGUCUGUUAAGUUCAAUGAAAACAUCAUCAACAAUAAUGUGAAUGCAGCAUCAGGUGCAACACAUAUUCUCGAUGGCGAAUGUUUGGGAUAACUCAACCAAUUUGUUGCUACCUAUUUCUUGGUGGACAUGGGUUGAUGAGAAUUCACAUGUCAUUCAUGAUGUCAAUGGGGUUUUCAAAUUAAAUGUAAAGGUGCUAGAAGGUCAUCAAUCAAAUAUCUUGGCAUGGUGCAUGCUCUAUACAACUCGAUAUACAUUAUAUUGGCAUUAUUUAAAAUCAAGGCAAUGCCCUCUAUGACAUUGAAAGAGACCAAUUAGGUUGUCCCAUUACAAGUUGAUUGUUGAUGUUAAUUGUCUAGCCCUUUGUUGCAUCAUUAAUUUGUAUCCUCUUUCAACUUUGCUUAAUAAUAAAUAAAUUGACAAGUUGCAAAAGCUUC
Molecule: long non-coding RNA, 1582 nt
Organism: Cryptomeria japonica (Japanese cedar)
Lineage: Eukaryota; Viridiplantae; Streptophyta; Pinopsida; Cupressales; Cupressaceae
Exons: 6
Source: RefSeq, a predicted model, not a curated record